UCCGGUUUGUCACCGGCAGUCCCAUUAGAGUGCCCAACUUAAUGUGGCAACUAAUGGCAAGGGUUGCGCUCGUUGCGGGACUUAACCCAACAUCUCACGACACGAGCUGACGACAGCCAUGCAGCACCUGUGUCCAGGUUCCCUUUCGGGCACCCUCACAUCUCUGCGAGGUUCCUGGCAUGUCAAGGGUAGGUAAGGUGGGGAUGACGUCCCUUACAGCGUAC
This 224-nucleotide unclassified non-coding RNA is filed under the name uncultured Gammaproteobacteria bacterium. RNAcentral's name for it is "contains 16S-23S intergenic spacer region". Lineage: Bacteria; Pseudomonadati; Pseudomonadota; Gammaproteobacteria. The record is from RNAcentral.